RNAcentral lists this ribosomal RNA (468 nucleotides) under uncultured bacterium. RNAcentral's name for it is "partial 16S ribosomal RNA". It matches the Rfam family "Bacterial small subunit ribosomal RNA", at positions 28 to 507 of the family's 1533-position model. The record is from RNAcentral.
GACGAACGCUGGCGGCGUGCUUAACACAUGCAAGUCGAACGGAAAGGCCCUGCUUUUGUGGGGUGCUCGAGUGGCGAACGGGUGAGUCACACGUGAGUAAUCUGCCCAUGACUUUGGGAUUACUUCAGGAAACUGGGGCUAAUACCGGAUAGGAGCUCCUGCUGCAUGGUGGGGGUUGGAAAGUUUCGGCGGUUGGGGAUGGACUCGCGGCGUAUCAGCUUGUUGGUGGGGUAGUGGCUUACCAAGGCUUUGACGGGUAGCCGGCCUGGGAGGGUGACCGGCCACAUUGGGACUGGGAUACGGCCCAGACUACUACGGGAGGCAGCAGUGGGGAAGAUUGCACAAUGGGCGGAAGCCUGAUGCAGCAACGCCGCGUGCGGGAUGACGGCCUUCGGGUUGUAAAGCGCUUUCGCCUGUGACGAGGCGUGAGUGACGGUAAUGGGUGAAGAAGCACCGGCUAACUACGUG